RNAcentral lists this ribosomal RNA (1161 nucleotides) under Salmonella enterica. Its description in RNAcentral is "partial 23S ribosomal RNA". It matches the Rfam family "Bacterial large subunit ribosomal RNA", at positions 1269 to 2411 of the family's 2925-position model. Lineage: Bacteria; Pseudomonadati; Pseudomonadota; Gammaproteobacteria; Enterobacterales; Enterobacteriaceae. The record is from RNAcentral.
GAUGCUGGAGGUAUCAGAAGUGCGAAUGCUGACAUAAGUAACGAUAAUGCGGGUGAAAAACCCGCACGCCGGAAGACCAAGGGUUCCUGUCCAACGUUAAUCGGGGCAGGGUGAGUCGACCCCUAAGGCGAGGCCGAAAGGCGUAGUCGAUGGGAAACAGGUUAAUAUUCCUGUACUUGGUGUUACUGCGAAGGGGGGACGGAGAAGGCUAUGUUGGCCGGGCGACGGUUGUCCCGGUUUAAGCGUGUAGGUGUGUGUUCCAGGUAAAUCCGGUUCACUUUAACACUGAGGCGUGAUGACGAGGCACUACGGUGCUGAAGCAACAAAUGCCCUGCUUCCAGGAAAAGCCUCUAAGCAUCAGGUAACAUCAAAUCGUACCCCAAACCGACACAGGUGGUCAGGUAGAGAAUACCAAGGCGCUUGAGAGAACUCGGGUGAAGGAACUAGGCAAAAUGGUGCCGUAACUUCGGGAGAAGGCACGCUGAUAUGUAGGUGAAGUGGUUUACCCAUGGAGCUGAAAUCAGUCGAAGAUACCAGCUGGCUGCAACUGUUUAUUAAAAACACAGCACUGUGCAAACACGAAAGUGGACGUAUACGGUGUGACGCCUGCCCGGUGCCGGAAGGUUAAUUGAUGGGGUUAUCCGUAAGGAGAAGCUCUUGAUCGAAGCCCCGGUAAACGGCGGCCGUAACUAUAACGGUCCUAAGGUAGCGAAAUUCCUUGUCGGGUAAGUUCCGACCUGCACGAAUGGCGUAAUGAUGGCCAGGCUGUCUCCACCCGAGACUCAGUGAAAUUGAACUCGCUGUGAAGAUGCAGUGUACCCGCGGCAAGACGGAAAGACCCCGUGAACCUUUACUAUAGCUUGACACUGAACACUGGUCCUUGAUGUGCAGGAUAGGUGGGAGGCUUUGAAGCGCGGACGCCAGUUCGUGUGGAGCCAUCCUUGAAAUACCACCCUUUAAUGGCUGGUGUUCUAACGUAGACCCGUGAUCCGGGUUGCGGACAGUGUCUGGUGGGUAGUUUGACUGGGGCGGUCUCCUCCUAAAGAGUAACGGAGGAGCACGAAGGUUAGCUAAUCCUGGUCGGACAUCAGGAGGUUAGUGCAAAGGCAUAAGCUAGCUUGACUGCGAGCGUGACGGCGCGAGCAGGUGCGAAAGCAGGUC